RNAcentral lists this ribosomal RNA (440 nucleotides) under uncultured bacterium. RNAcentral describes it as "partial 16S ribosomal RNA". It matches the Rfam family "Bacterial small subunit ribosomal RNA", at positions 338 to 795 of the family's 1533-position model. The record is from RNAcentral.
CCUACGGGAGGCAGCAGUGGGGAAUAUUGCACAAUGGGGGAAACCCUGAUGCAGCGACGCCGCGUGAGUGAAGAAGUAAUUCGUUAUGUAAAGCUCUAUCAGCAGGGAAGAAAAUGACGGUACCUGAGUAAGAAGCCCCGGCUAACUACGUGCCAGCAGCCGCGGUAAUACGUAGGGGGCAAGCGUUAUCCGGAUUUACUGGGUGUAAAGGGAGCGUAGACGGCAGUGCAAGUCUGGAGUGAAAGGUGGGGGCUCAACCCCCGGACUGCUCUGGAAACUGUACGGCUGGAGUGCAGGAGAGGUAAGUGGAAUUCCUAGUGUAGCGGUGAAAAGCGUAGAUAUUAGGAGGAACACCAGUGGCGAAGGCGGCUUACUAAACUGUGACUGACAUUGAUGCUCGAAAGUGUGGGUAUCAAACAGGAUUAGAUACCCCUGUAGUC